RNAcentral lists this ribosomal RNA (375 nucleotides) under uncultured organism. Its description in RNAcentral is "partial 16S ribosomal RNA". It matches the Rfam family "Bacterial small subunit ribosomal RNA", at positions 527 to 896 of the family's 1533-position model. The record is from RNAcentral.
GUAGGUGGCAAGCGUUGUCCGGGAAUUAUUGGGGCGUAAAGCGCGCGCAGGCGGUCCUUUAAGUCUGAUGUGAAAGCCCACGGGCUCAACCGUGGAGGGUCAUUGGAAACUGGGGGACUUGAGUACAGAAGAGAAGAGUGGAAUUCCACGUGUAGCGGUGAAAUGCGUAGAGAUGUGGAGGAACACCAGUGGCGAAGGCGACUCUUUGGUCUGUAACUGACGCUGAGGCGCGAAAGCGUGGGGAGCAAACAGGAUUAGAUACCCUGGUAGUCCACGCUGUAAACGAUGAGUGCUAAGUGUUAGAGGGUUUCCGCCCUUUAGUGCUGCAGCUAACGCAUUAAGCACUCCGCCUGGGGAGUACGGCCGCAAAGGCUG